RNAcentral lists this ribosomal RNA (200 nucleotides) under uncultured bacterium. RNAcentral describes it as "partial 16S ribosomal RNA". It matches the Rfam family "Bacterial small subunit ribosomal RNA", at positions 524 to 721 of the family's 1533-position model. The record is from RNAcentral.
UACGUACCGUCCAAACGUUAUUCGGUAUCACUGGGCUUAAAGCGUUCGUAGGCGGCCUAGAAGGUGUGAUGUGAAAGCCCACGGCUCAACCGUGGAACUGCGUCGCAAACCACUAGGCUUGAGGAAGACAGGGGGUGAAGGGGAACUUAUGGUGGAGCGGUGAAAUGCGUUGAUAUCAUAGGGAACACCGGUGGCGAAAG